Long non-coding RNA from Tarenaya hassleriana, 633 nucleotides. RefSeq lists it as uncharacterized. NCBI's taxonomy places the organism in Eukaryota, Viridiplantae, Streptophyta, Magnoliopsida, Brassicales, Cleomaceae. The transcript has 2 exons. The record is from RefSeq and is a predicted model, not a curated record.
UUGAAUCUUGGGUUUACACUUUCCAGAUUGUCUCGCCAACCGCUCGCUUUCAUUCCUUUCACGCAACUCAUUACGCAUCUCUCUCUCUCUCUCGCUCGCGCUCGCUCUCGCUCUCGGCAUCGUUAUAUCGGUCUUACCCUGCGUUUUGAUUUCUAGGGUUUAUCCUCCCUCCUCGACUCGUCGGAAUUUGGAGACUACACUUUGUAACGCUUGACUGAAGCGUUUUCUCCGCGUGCUCGUUUUGGGGCUUCUCGGAGGUGGAAAUGUUGGAAAUUUAGGGUUUAUAGGAGGUGAGAAGAAAUGGUGUUUGGUCCGGAUUCCGUUGGGGAUUAGAUGGCGAAGGAGAGGGAAGUGGAUGCUGGUUCAAGUUUAUUUUCCUUAGAAGCUGCUUGUCUUCAAGGUCCAAAGUGGAUAGUUCAGUCAGCACCAGCGGCACAAGUAUACAAUAUGGUAUAGUUUCGGAAUUAUGUUGUCGGAGAAAUAAAUGUGCAGCUACUGAUUCCACGGUUAUCUCGUUGCCUGUGUUCUGUUGCAUUCUCGAGUUUACAUCGGAAUCAAUGUAGCUUUCCACUGAGUGCCGAGACAUUGGCACAUUGUGUUCUUUGCUAGAGUGAAGAUGGUCAUUGUGGAAAA